RNAcentral lists this ribosomal RNA (460 nucleotides) under uncultured bacterium. RNAcentral describes it as "partial 16S ribosomal RNA". It matches the Rfam family "Bacterial small subunit ribosomal RNA", at positions 338 to 795 of the family's 1533-position model. The record is from RNAcentral.
CCUACGGGAGGCAGCAGUGAGGAAUAUUGGUCAAUGGACGAGAGUCUGAACCAGCCAAGUAGCGUGAAGGAUGACUGCCCUAUGGGUUGUAAACUUCUUUUAUAAAGGAAUAAAACGAGGCACGUGUGCCUUUUUGUAUGUACUUUAUGAAUAAGGAUCGGUUAACUCCGUGCCAGCAGCCGCGGUAAUACGGAGGAUCCGAGCGUUAUCCGGAUUUAUUGGGUUUAAAGGGAGCGUAGAUGGGUUGUUAAGUCAGUUGUGAAAGUUUGCGGCUCAACCGUGAAAUUGCAAUUGAUACUGGCAGUCUUGAGUACAGUUGAGGUAGGCGGAAUUCGUGGUGUAGCGGUGAAAUGCUUAGAUAUCACGAAGAACCCCGAUUGCGAAGGCAGCUUACUAAACUGUGACUGACAUUGAUGCUCGAAAGUGUGGGUAUCAAACAGGAUUAGAUACCCCUGUAGUC